Molecule: ribosomal RNA, 253 nt
Filed under: uncultured bacterium
Lineage: Bacteria
Description: partial 16S ribosomal RNA
Rfam family: Bacterial small subunit ribosomal RNA
Source: RNAcentral
UACGUAGGGUGCAAGCGUUAAUCGGAAUUACUGGGCGUAAAGCGUGCGCAGGCGGUUGUGCAAGACCGAUGUGAAAUCCCCGGGCUUAACCUGGGAAUGGCAUUGGUGACUGCACGGCUAGAGUGUGUCAGAGGGGGGUAGAAUUCCACGUGUAGCAGUGAAAUGCGUAGAGAUGUGGAGGAAUACCGAUGGCGAAGGCAGCCCCCUGGGUUAACACUGACGCUCAGGCACGAAAGCGUGGGGAGCAAACAGG